This is a long non-coding RNA of Anolis carolinensis (green anole), 1658 nucleotides long. RefSeq lists it as uncharacterized. The record is from RefSeq and is a predicted model, not a curated record. NCBI's taxonomy places the organism in Eukaryota, Metazoa, Chordata, Lepidosauria, Squamata, Anolidae. The transcript is spliced from 3 exons.
GCCAUGUGUGCUUCAUUGCAAUAUAUGAGAGAAACAGCAGCUGUUUUGGAAUCCCUUACAAGAAUAAUAAAACUGAGAGAGAAGGACAGCAUCCGGGUCUGAACCAGUAAGGAGGGGCUGAGUCCUUAGGAAACAUAGCUCUAAAACUGGAGUUUAUACAUUGAGCUGCAUCUCAGUUAAUAAAGUACCGUAGGUAUAUUCUUGGGUAUUACUUCUUUAACAGAGGUUUUGGUGCCAGAGGCAAAAAUAGCAUGGAGAGAAUAGGGAUUGGUUCCUACAUCAUAGAAAAGUAAGAGCAACUUGAACAUGCUUCAGUGGAUUUUUAAUUUGGAAUUUAAGAUAUGCACAUGUGAAAUGAAAGGAGGUCAGGAUAUUGAUGCAGGAAAUCUGGGGACAAACUGCCUGAAAGGAGGAAUUAUUCUCUACUUAAAGAAUCAUUCCAGAGAUGAUUUUCAGUACACUGGCAUCAGUCUACACACACAAGGAUAUGAAAGUGUAUGUUACUGCCUGAGGAAACAAGUUUAAGCUUACUGAUGUUUCUGAAGACCUUUGAAGUUGAUGAGCCGACAGGAAGCACAAGAGCUUGGAAUGUUACCUUUUUUGUGGAUGACAGCUCCCAGAAUCCACCCGCCAGCACCAGCUUUCACAGAAAGGCAAAGGAUUGCUUGCAAAGUGUCCGUACUGUUCAAAUGAAUGUUAUUACAAAGUAGAGUUUCAAGUGGAAGGAGCUGUGGAAGGAAUGGGGAGGAGAGUGCUUAUGCAUUUGGUGCAUUUACGCCUCAUCAAAACAAGCGAGGAAACACAGAUGUGCACAAAAUGGUCAUGUCGUCAUUUAUAGUUCGAGGUCAGGGGUGAUAAUUGCAUAGCUCUCCAAAUGCUAUUGGACUUCAACUCUCAUUAGCCCUCAUCUCUGGCAAUGCUGAUUACGGCUCAUAGCAGAUGCAGUUCAAUGUAAUCACCAUUCACCUCAUCUCAACAAUGGGUACAUAUGACAUAUUGCACAUGAUAAUGACAUUAACUCUGGCUGUUCAAUUUGCAGGAAAUAGUUUCCACACAUAAUCAUAAAUUUCAUGGUUAGUCCCAAGUACAGUAGCUCCAUUGGAUCAACUGGUUUUACCCAUGUGUGACUUCCUUUUCAACAAUUGAUUUAAUAGGUCUUCUUUAGCUGGACCUGACCAACAGGAUCCUGACCAUAAAAAUGGAAUGCAAAUAAUGUUAGAACAAGAUAAUAUCUCCACAACAAUGGACAAAGAGAAUAUCCCUGCAAAGGAAUCUUUCUCUGCCAUAUGUGACACAUCUAUGAUAAAUAUGCAUUCAUUUUACUUAAGACUCUGGGAAGACCAAUUUAUGUUCUAGAACAUGUCACCAUUUGGGAAUUCAGCAAAAGAUGCAUGACCUCUACUUAUGAAAUGAAGUGAUGAGGUAUAGAUUGUACUUCAACAGUUGUCUAUAUAUAUCACACACUAUUGAACACAUACCUAUAUUAUUAAUGCUAGUGAUUCUUUCUACAAUGAGCUAUAAACCAUUAGUAAAUGAGUACUACUUCACAGACUAAUGUGAUAUUUUAAUUACAUUUGUAAAUGUUGUUGAACCAUAGGAAGAAUACUGUCUUCCCCUCAGAUUUGAGAAGGUGUUCCUAUAAUAAAGUCAUAUCAGAA